CCUUUUCAGGGGGACGAGGAAGGACGGUACCCCUGGAAUAAGCGUCGGCUAACUACGUGCCAGCAGCCGCGGUAAGACGUAGGACGCAAGCGUUAUCCGGAUUUACUGGGCGUAAAGCGUCUGUAGGCGGUUCGAUAAGUUGGGCGUGAAAGCUCCGGGCUUAACCCGGAGAGGUCGUUCAAUACUGUCGAACUAGAGGACAUCAGAGGAGCAUGGAAUUUCCGGUGUAGCGGUAAAAUGCGCAGAUAUCGGAAGGAACACCAGUGGCGAAGGCGGUGCUCUGGGGUGGGCCUGACGCUGAGAGACGAAAGCUAGGGGAGCGAACAGGAUUAGAGACCCUGGUAGUCCUAGCCCUAAACGAUGGAUGCUAGGUGUGGGGCCGAGAAGGCUCUGUGCCGCAGUUAACGCGCUAAGCAUCCCGCCUGGGGAUUACGGCCGCAAGGCUAAAACUCAAACGAAUUGACGGGGCCCCGCACAAGCAGCGGAGCGUGUGGUUUAAUUCGAUGCUACACGAAGAACCUUACCUGGGUUUGACAUGUACGUGGUAGAGAAGCGAAAGCGGAUCGACCCUUCGGGGAGCGUACACAGGUGCUGCAUGGCUGUCGUCAGCUCGUGCCGUGAGGUGUCGGGUUAAGUCCCGUAACGAGCGCAACCCUUGCCCUUAGUUACAAGUGUCUAAGGGGACUGCCGGCGGUAAGCCGGAGGAAGGUGGGGAUGACGUCAAGUCAGCAUGGCCCUUAUAUCCAGGGCUACACACACGCUACAAUGGUCAGUACAAAGGGCAGCGAAGCCGCGAGGUGAAGCGAAUCCCAACAAAGCUGAUCUAAGUUCGGAUUGCAGGCUGCAACUCGCCUGCAUGAAGCUGGAGUU
RNAcentral lists this ribosomal RNA (870 nucleotides) under uncultured Chloroflexota bacterium. RNAcentral describes it as "bacterial SSU rRNA". It matches the Rfam family "Bacterial small subunit ribosomal RNA", at positions 432 to 1333 of the family's 1533-position model. The record is from RNAcentral. Lineage: Bacteria; Bacillati; Chloroflexota.